CAAACUGGAGAUGGCGACCGGCGCACGGGUGAGUAACACGUAUCCAACCUGCCGAUAACUCGGGGAUAGCCUUUCGAAAGAAAGAUUAAUACCCGAUGGCAUAAUAGAACCGCAUGGUUUGAUUAUUAAAGAAUUUCGGUUAUCGAUGGGGAUGCGUUCCAUUAGGCAGUUGGCGGGGUAACGGCCCACCAAGCCUUCGAUGGAUAGGGGUUCUGAGAGGAAGGUCCCCCACAUUGGAACUGAGACACGGUCCAAACUCCUACGGGAGGCAGCAUG
RNAcentral lists this ribosomal RNA (276 nucleotides) under uncultured bacterium. Its description in RNAcentral is "partial 16S ribosomal RNA". It matches the Rfam family "Bacterial small subunit ribosomal RNA", at positions 77 to 353 of the family's 1533-position model. The record is from RNAcentral.